CCUUAUGAUGGGGAAGGUAGUAUGGUAAACCUAAUUGAUUUGGCGGUGUCAGGAACUGUUUAGAGGAAUCUGUCCUUUAAUUGAAAGUGCACAAUAAAGUUUUCCUUUAAUUAGUGGCUUGUAUACCUCCGUUGUCAGUGGUCUAUUUAUUUAGAUUUCGUUUUAAUUGAUGGAGUUGACUUCAGGUCAAGGUGCAGUCUAUGUAGGGGAUGAGAUGGAUUACAUUGAAUAUCUUUAUACGAAAAUUAUUUUGUAAUUAUAGUUGAAGGUGGAUUUAAGAGUAAUUAGGUAUUAGUAAGAUUAGUUGAAUAAGGCUCUGUGAUAUGU
Molecule: ribosomal RNA, 327 nt
Filed under: Parasiro minor
Lineage: Eukaryota; Metazoa; Arthropoda; Arachnida; Opiliones; Parasironidae
Description: partial 12S ribosomal RNA
Source: RNAcentral